GCUACGGGAGGCAGCAGUGAGGAAUAUUGGUCAAUGGACGAGAGUCUGAACCAGCCAAGUAGCGUGAAGGAUGACUGCCCUAUGGGUUGUAAACUUCUUGUAUAAAGGAAUAAAACGAGGCACGUGUGCCUUUUUGCAUGUACUUUAUGAAUAAGGAUCGGCUAACUCCGUGCCAGCAGCCGCGGUAAUACGGAGGAUCCGAGCGUUAUCCGGAUUUAGUGGGUUUAAAGGGAGCGUAGAGGGGUUGUUAAGUAAGGUGUGACAGGUUGCGGCUCAACCGUAAAAUUGCAAUUGAUACUGGCAGUCUUGAGUACAGUUGAGGUAGGCGGAAUUCGUGGUGUAGCGGUGAAAUGCUUAGAUAUCACGAAGAACCCCGAUUGCGAAGGCAGCUUACUAAACUGUGACUGACAUUGAUGCUCGAAAGUGUGUGUAUCAAACAGGAUUAGAUACCCGUGUAGUC
Molecule: ribosomal RNA, 460 nt
Filed under: uncultured bacterium
Lineage: Bacteria
Description: partial 16S ribosomal RNA
Rfam family: Bacterial small subunit ribosomal RNA
Source: RNAcentral